UAUUGCACAAAUUGUGUUCAUCU
Molecule: microRNA, 23 nt
Filed under: Caenorhabditis brenneri
Lineage: Eukaryota; Metazoa; Nematoda; Chromadorea; Rhabditida; Rhabditidae
Description: cbn-miR-7620b
Source: miRBase by way of RNAcentral